This 467-nucleotide ribosomal RNA is filed under the name uncultured bacterium. Its description in RNAcentral is "partial 16S ribosomal RNA". It matches the Rfam family "Bacterial small subunit ribosomal RNA", at positions 28 to 507 of the family's 1533-position model. The record is from RNAcentral.
GACGAACGCUGGCGGCGUGCUUAACACAUGCAAGUCGAACGGAAAGGCCCUGCUUUUGUGGGGUGCUCGAGUGGCGAACGGGUGAGUAACACGUGAGUAACCUGCCCUUGACUUUGGGAAACUUCAGGAAACUGGGGCUAAUACCGGAUAGGAGCUCCUGCUGCAUGGUUGGGGUUGGAAAGUUUCGGCGGUUGGGGAUGGACUCGCGGCUUAUCAGCUUGUUGGUGGGGUAGUGGCUUACCAAGGCUUUGACGGGUAGCCGGCCUGAGAGGGUGACCGGCCACAUUGGGACUGAGAUACGGCCCAGACUCCUACGGGAGGCAGCAGUGGGGAAUAUUGCACAAUGGGCGGAAGCCUGAUGCAGCAACGCCGCGUGCGGGAUGACGGCCUUCGGGUUGUAAACCGCUUUCGCCUGUGACGAAGCGUGAGUGACGGUAAUGGGUAAAGAAGCACCGGCUAACUACGUG